CAUGCUCAUAAAACCUCCAAUUCCACUUUCAAAGUAAUGGUAGCCGGCAAGGGUCUCAAUUAUUUCUCCUGUGGCUAUGACAAUACUAUGAUGAAAGCCACUCAGGAAAGAAAGGUUUGACCUGGGCUCCCAGCCUAGGUUUCAGUCCAUUGUGACAGGACAAUCAUAGCAGUAGCAGAAGCGGCAGCAGCAGUCAGGAAGCAAACAAACCAACUUAUCAUCGAUCUUUGCUCCUUCUUACGAACUCCGGGAUCCCAGUCUGGGGCUGGUGUCACCCACAGUGGCACUUCAAUUAACCUAACCACGGUAAGAUCUUCCGGUGACUGCACACCUCGCUAAGGGGACCACCACCACUAGGCGCACCCUUCCACAGGCAGCCUUUUGCUCUACUGGAACCACAACUCAAACACACUCUCCCUUUGCCAAAGAUGUCUCUGAUCCAUGGGGCUGCAACAGCUACAUGAAGCUGGACAAUUUACAAAGAAUCUUUAUUUCUUAGUUCUGAAGGCCUGAAGUCCAAGGUCAAAGGGCUAUACCUCCAGCAGGAACAGACCUUGCUGACCAUCUCCUAUCAGGAAAUCAAAGGACCACAGAAGAGGGACAAACCCACUCUUCUGAACCUACUCCCUUGGUAACACAGCAUGAAUCUGUGCAGAAGACGGAGCUUAGGGGCCUAUCCACACAGCUGCAACAGGAAUUCCUCUCCGAAUCGUAACUGAGAUAACUAAAAUAGAAGAUAAUCCUGAUUAGGAAGCUGUUGUUGGAGUGAGAUGUUCGGACAGCCCAUCUCAGUCUUGGUGGACAAAGUUGGUAGAAGGAAAGUAAACCUGAAGGAGACAGACUCUCACCUCAAACCUCUACCCUAGAAUCAAAAUAAAAGCGCAACAGCGGCGUUUACGGGGAAAUGGAUGGGUGAGAUGGCAGAGAGCCCAUGUGCUGGGCAGGGUCCUGGUCAGCGGGAAGGUGCCUAAGCACAUCUGACCUCCUUGACCAGAAGGGCUGGGUCCCCAAUGGGUUAGAGGGAGGCAGAAAGCCAAAGAUGGAGGGAGCGGGUCAGGGGAUGGACUGAAAUCAAUCCUCAGAAGAAAUACGCUGUGCAAGUUAAAAGUAAAAAGAAGACAAUUAGGCAAGUCAUCAUAAACGUGAGAAACCCUGUAGUAUUUGAAGCAAAAUUCAUAGCAAAAAGCAGAAUCAAAAUAUAGAGUUCAGAAUAGAUAAACAGAAAUAACAAUAGACUGACUGUACAAUCUUUCAAAAGUUAAAUAACAAAAUUUAUUGUUUACCCAUCACAUGUAAACUAAAUAACCCUUCACUUGAAGCAUCCACAGGGGUCAGCACUUGCUGUCAAGCCUGAAGCCCUGAGUUCGAUUCCCAGAACCCACAUGGUAAAACGAAAUUACUCUCACAAGUUGUCCUCUUACAGACUCUAAAGCCCCAGCAGGCAAUCGCACUUUGGGAGACAUGUAUCCCAGGAAGGUACAGCAGUCCCAAGCCACAUGCCUGCCAUCCGGACACUGUGCUUACUGUCUUGUUAAGUACUAAUGAGUUUUGAAGAAACGCAUGCAUGUUGGCACACUGGCUCAUACACAUUUAAUUUCUGUCCCACAUAUACCAGAUUUCUAAGAACCCCUACUACCACUUGACACAUGCCUGCACUGAAUGUCAGACCUGCUAAGAAGCCUCCAUUUUGCCGGGAUACUGAGGAAGGAUGAUGGCAGGCCUACUGACCAGUGAGCGUGGUUCUGCUACGACGAAGGCAUGCUGGUGUUGAAGCUACAAGUCUUGAGCACUGUUUCCCAAGCCCCCAGUAAGUUCUAAUGAGCAGCCAAGAUGGAGAACGGAUCCAGCUGAGAUCAGCAGAGAACUGGUAUCAACUGUCUUCUCAACCACGUCCACAACAGUCCUCCCGCCACAAGAGCCGAGCAGCAAAUUCCACAGAGCUACAUCAAGGUCUGUACUCAACACGAUCUAAUACCCAUAUUAGAGUUCACUCACAUGUGGGUUUCAAUACACAUCCAAAAACUCUUAAAAGCAUAGAAUUUCAAGUUAAUACGGUAUGUCUUAAAAAUUAGUUAUACAAAUUAACAUUUUCAUUGGUUAAGAUAUCUCAAUUAGCUUUACAUUGACCACAGUCCAUAGAUAUUUGAUUUCCAGCCUGGUUAACAGCUUAAUGCCUAUGUGCAGAAACAAUUUAAUUAGUCAUCGUGGUACACUUAGCACUGAGUCCCCUGUCUCUGGGAAUUACCUCACUCAUAUAGUUCAGCUGUUUAUUAUUCCCAAACCACCAGAGGUUUUAAAACUUCAAAGUUGUUAGUCUCUAGUUAUUGCCAACAAUUACAUUUCAUUCACCUCAAACUUCAUAAAAAUCUCCUGGCUCAACUACAGCUUUAGAUAAAAUAAGUUAAAAUAUAAUAAAAAUUAAUUUCACCAAGUAAAUAUAUUGUGUCUAUGUGUGUAUAUAUAUACACACAGACAUCGGACACAAAAAAUUAAAAAGCAGCUUUUAUUAUUAAGUUUUAGCUUUUGGAUAUCUGCUAUCUAAUUAUUAAAAUGGGAAAGAAAAUAUCAAUAAGUGUUUAAAGUACAACCUACUACUGACUGCUGAGCACACUAGGAAAAAGCCUAGAACUGUAAGACCUGAGGUGCCAGAAAGUAAGAGCUGGUGUUUCAAUGGUAAAACUCCGACAGGAAUCAGCUGUUAUCAAGUUCAUAUCCUAGUCCUUGAGAAAAUAAGUGAGCAGAGGAUGAGGAAGGGAAGCAGGAAAGUACACUGACAUACAUGUGUAGCUGUCAGAAUGAAGCUCACUACUCUGGAUGCUAACUUAAUUUUUUUUUAUUAACAGCAGCUGUCCCAUUGAAACUUAUUUUGGAAAAAAACAAAACAGACAAACAAACCAACGGUUCUGACGCAAAGAAAUGACACAGCCUCCUCCAUCUGAUCUACCAAAUGCUCUUCUAAACACAAGGGGGUUGGGGAGGAGGGCUGCAGUGCCUUUCAAGCCACCACAUCUUAAAGAUCACUUACACAGCCAAAUGUGCUGGCGCACAGAAGCAGACUGAUCCUAGUGAGUUUAAGGCCAGCCAGGACAACACUUUACAAACAAACAAACAAACAAACAAACAAUAAAACCACAUACACCACCUACACUUACCAAAAACGUUCAAAAACUACUACUCAAGGGAGAUGCUCACCAGUUACGAGCUCAUGCUGCUGUUUCAGAACACCCGAGUUUGGCUCCUGCACCCACUUGGAGUCUCACAUCUGUGACUCUUCCUGGCCUUAUACACACACUCACGCACACACGCGCGCGCGCACACACAGACAAGCGGACACAUACUUUUAAAAAAACAAAAUAAAUUCUUUUUUAAUGCUA
Molecule: non-coding RNA, 3374 nt
Organism: Rattus norvegicus (Norway rat)
Lineage: Eukaryota; Metazoa; Chordata; Mammalia; Rodentia; Muridae
Source: RefSeq, a predicted model, not a curated record